Molecule: long non-coding RNA, 1569 nt
Organism: Talpa occidentalis (Iberian mole)
Lineage: Eukaryota; Metazoa; Chordata; Mammalia; Eulipotyphla; Talpidae
Exons: 4
Source: RefSeq, a predicted model, not a curated record
ACCAGGAGCGCGGGCCGGAGGGCCCGGGUUUCGGGCAGUUGGGCGAGCCAGGAGAAAGUUGUUAAAAGUGAGUCCCUUAGAAGCACUACCAAACAAAAAAAAAAAAGAGAGAGAAGGAAAAACUUACAGAUGAGCGAAGCGGCCCAGGAAGCCGUAGGAAAACUCACAGCACAAAGACGGAUAGAAGGCACAGCCCAGAAAUUGGGAAGGCUCCAGAACAAGAGCCAUUGGGGCGGGGGCGCCCCUCUGACAUCCACACUGCAGGUGGACAGAGGAGGCCUCUCAAGCGUGCGUGAGGAGUCGGACCUGGAAACCUGUCUUCCUGGCAGAAGCCCCGGAUCCCCCAGGUCACUUUGGGGCUGCCAUGGACUUUUCUCCUUUUCCUGCUCGGAGGUGGAGAGAAGGGGGUAUACCUCAAACUUUGAGCCAUUUCCUUCACUCCCAGGCCACCAGCGGAGCCUCCAGGUGCAGCCUCAACCAUUUCAAAUUCCAUCCUCCUGGCCUUGCCCCCAAGGAGAACACACAGCUCCGCCCACAUCAGAUAAGGACUCCCUACUGUUGCCCUGUCCGCAAGGAGCUGACAGAUUCUACCAGAGUUGGAGAGGCAGGAAAAGGUCACUAAGAGACGACCUCUGUAAACUUCACUCAAUCAUAAAUACCAAGCCAAGGGGGCAGGAGGACCUAGAAGACAACAAAUAAUGUGUGGUUUGAAGGACAGUGGGGGGCAGAGCAGAGGCCUGGCCGGGAGGGUGAAUCAGAUUUGGAAUAUGGGGUAAAUAGGAAAUCAGUGAUGUCAGGCUGAGAAGGGAGGAAAUCCCUGCCAGUGACCUCUCCAGGCACAAGGAAGCUUGAGGGUGCAGUGGAAGAUGCCCACGGACACCAUCCACAGCACUGAAGACCACUUGCAGGGCAAGACAGACCCCAAAGCAGAAAAGACCUUGAGAUCUAGGACAAGAGGUCAAGAAAAACACCAGGGCCGCCUUCGAGGACUCCCAGGUCACAUCUGUCCUUGACCUUCCAAAGUGACCCAGGAGAGCUGCUGGGAUGGGUCCUUUGAUUGAGAUAAAGAUAGGAAGCCUAAAAUAGCAGGGUCAUGAGAAACAAGCCAGGAUCUUGGAAAUGUUAUAAAGGUGAUUGCGAUGCCAGUCAAGCGGAGAAACCACCAGUGGCACUGGCUGCCCUGUUCCGAGUGAGGAAGCUGAGGGCACCCAGAGGGUCAGAGCCAGUCAUGAAGAUGGUGUGCGGGACGAGGGCAGGCAGGAGCCGCCCUGGCAAGGGCCCUCUGUGCCAUAUCUGAGUUGCCGUCCAAACUGCAUCGAGCUCCAAACAUACCGGAGACCGAGCUGUUUUGUCCCUGUUUGUGUUUAAUCCAUCUGAGUUGGAAGCGAGAAGUUGAAAUAUUUACACUGCCCGCCAUUCACCGACUAAAGAAGAAUGGGGGAGAGUCAGAUGGCACCUGUGAAGAGUGGUUAUUAAAGAAUGGCAAGUCAGAAGGGUGGUGAGAUUCCCACACACGCCCAGACACCCGGGCGCAGCCUGCAGGCUCAGGAGAGUGUAAAAUCAGAAGUG